Molecule: long non-coding RNA, 1091 nt
Filed under: Capsicum annuum
Lineage: Eukaryota; Viridiplantae; Streptophyta; Magnoliopsida; Solanales; Solanaceae
Description: long non-coding RNA (CANN_LNC010792)
Source: RNAcentral
UGAGUUCUUGAUUUGCUUGAUUUUGACCUUACUAGGUUAUAUUACUGGGAUAAUUUAUGCAAUUUAUGCAAUCGUUAUCCGUGAUCAUGAUUAAAUUAUAUUUUGUAAAGAAAAAUUUAUUCAACUCUGUUGAGAAUCAAAAUAAUAAUAAUAAAAAAAGUUAAAUGACCAUCUAUAAACCAAUUCGACAUAGUACAUACAUGAUUGAAUCCACAAGCAAAUAUAUCAGAUAGCUUUGUACAUAAAUUUUCGGCAGAUGACAAAAAAAAAAAAAUCUACUUUUAAUUUUGAUUUUUGAAAUUGAUUCUCUAUAUUGUACAUAAAUGUUAAGGCGCCACGUUGAAAGUCUUCUCGAAAGAAGAGCUUCUAAUAAUAAUACAUCAUGUCGCGAAUUUGAAUUAAUCAGCGUCACAAUGCAUGUACCAUAUACCAGAUGCGAAAUUAAAUGCUUAUAAUAUCUUUUAACACAAUAAAUUUUGUUAAUCACUUUGAUUAAUAAAAUUUUAAUUAUAUUUUUUUUAUGCUUACAAUCUCUUUCAACACAAUAAAUUUUGCUAAUUACUUUGAUUAAUAAAAUUUUAAUUAAUUAUUUUUUUUUAUUUUUGCAGUGUGAAUUCUUGAUUUGCUUGAUUUUAACCUUAUUAGGUUAUAUUCCUGGGAUUAUUUAUGCAAUUUAUGCAAUUGUGGUUCGUGGUCAUGAUCAAGAUGAAGAAUGGCGUCCUCUUACUGCCUAAUUAUUUUUUUUUUAAUUAUUAUUAUUAUUAUUAAUUUAUUUAUUUUUUUGGAUAAUAGGAAAACAAUAAUUCUAGAUUUAUUUGAUCCAGAAAAUAUUUUUUUAGCUGAUAUGCUUUGGUUCUUUAACAGAAAUUAAUAAAAGUUUUGGCAUAUUGUCCCUAUUUAUUUUUAUCUUCUUCAAAAAAAAAUAUGUGAUUUACCUAAUAUAAUGCAGUUUACUAUUAUUAUGCUCAUAGAUAUAAUGUAUUUCGCUACGCUCUGAUAUUAGGCGUUAAUAUUGUAUAUUCUGCUACGGAGAUAUUUUAUACGCUUGAAUACACUUAUUUGUACCAUCAUAACUUAAAAAUCAAAACUGC